RNA transcript from Raphanus sativus (radish), 1453 nucleotides. RefSeq lists it as uncharacterized. The record is from RefSeq and is a predicted model, not a curated record. The transcript has 11 exons. NCBI's taxonomy places the organism in Eukaryota, Viridiplantae, Streptophyta, Magnoliopsida, Brassicales, Brassicaceae.
ACAUAUAGAGUUCGCCCCAGAUUGUUAAAACCAAAUCAAAUGCAUGCAGCAACCUUCACUCCUAAUCCCUCCUUCCUUCAACGUUUGUAUAGGGUUUUGUUUCAAGUAUUUGAGGUUACCUGAAUCAUUUUGGAUCUGCAGUGAGUUACUUCUGAUACUAUAAAAUGAUUAAAGACGUGAUGGAGGCAAUACGUUUUGCAUGGUCACCUAGUUCUUGGAACAUGUUUCUCUGGGGUAUCGCUCUCUAUUCUUCCUACUGGAAAUUACUUAAAGCAAGUAUAUUUGGAUCGAAGUCUACUCCCAAUUCUAGUUCCAUUGGUCCAAAGUUUGGAUCUCCAAGACCUAUUUGUGUUAUCACUGGUCCUACUUCUGGAAUUGGUAAGGCCACUGCAUUUUCUCUUGCAGAGAAGGGCUUCCACGUUGUUCUUGUUGGAAGGUCUCCUCAGCUUCUUUCAGAGACUUUGGAAGAAAUCAAGAGCAAGCACGAAGAUGCACUACUCAAAUCUUUCGUAGUUGACAUGUCUUGUUUUUCAUCAAUUUUCAAUUUUAAAGAUUCUCUAGAGCAAUGGCUCUCGGACGAAGAGUUACAUCCUUCAAUUCAGCUUUUAGUGAACAAUGCUGGGAUCAUGGCAGUGUACAGCCGACCACUCGCUAAUGGCUAUGACAGGAUGAUGACUACAAACUAUAUUGGUCCAUUCACUAUGACCAAACUUCUUUUACCACUUCUGAAAAACAGCUCUGUGCCUUCACGGGUCGUGAACGUUGCAUCUUUCUCACAUCGUUAUGCUUCUAUUGGGAAGCUUGACAAGGAUUAUGUAACUGGAGAACAUUUCACGACAUUUGACGAAUAUCCUCAUGCUCAUGUCUACGAGUACUCUAAAUUAUGUCUUCUACUUUUCUCCUAUGAAUUGCACAGACAGCUUCGCCUCAAAGAUGAUUCACACCAUGUCUCUGUUAUAGCUGCAGAUCCUGGAUUUGUGAAAACAAAUCUACUGCGCGAGUUUCCUAAAUACUCAUCUGCUUCUGCGUUUCUCUUUUUCAAACUUAUUGGCCUCCUCCAAACCCCUGAUGAUGGAGCUGAAUCUUCUGUCGAUGCAGCUUUAGCUCCACCAGAAACAUCAGGCGUUUACUAUUUUGGAGGAAAAGGAAGGACCAUUAAAUCGUCAAAAGCUUCUAGAGAUCCCAAACUUGGUAAAGAACUUUGGGAAACUUCUUGUGGUUUGUUCAAGGAGUUGCAGCCAUACAACGACUAAAUCAAAAACUCGCAUGGUUCAUAAGAUUCUUAUUUCAACAGUAAACGGUGGUACACAUAAACUGAAAUCAGUGCUUUUCAGUUUGGUUUCUCUGUUUGAUGUAAACCCAUAUGCCAAGAUCCGCAAAACCAGGUUUCUCGAUGUUGAAUUCAAAUUUGAAUCUUACUUACUCUUUCUCUCCAUCUAAAUUAAGUCCAACC